AUAGUAGCUGGGAUUACAGGCGCGUAGCACCCCGCCCAGCUAAAUAGAGACGGGGUUUCGCCAUGUUGGCCAGGCUGGUCGGGAGCACCUGACUACAGGUAAUUGCCCGCCUUGCGCUCCCAGAAUGCUGGGAUCUUUUUUCAUUUGUAGAGACAGGGUCUCCCUGUGUUGCCCAGGCUCAUCUGCAAUUCCUGGGACCAAGUGAUCCUCCAGUCUCCUCCGAGAUCACAGGCCUCAUGUGAGUCACCACUACCGGCCCCCCCUUUUUUUUUAAUCCUAGAGGUGUCUUCCUAAAACCAGGGACCUAGCUACAGAAAACUCAUUCUCAGACCCAUAAUCCCAGGUCUGUCUUCUCCUUCUGUCCGAGGUACUUUUAAUGUUUUUGCUUGAGUUCAGCCAGUGGAAUAAAAAAACCUUUUCAUUCUGUCUCAUCUAAAAGCUGUAUUCUCCCAACAGAAACUACUGAUGCAUUUGAAACCAACGGGAUAGGAUUCAAAACUAGGUGACAAACCCGUGAGAAAUCGAACCUGGCUGAAUGUCUGAGAGGCCGCUACUGUAUCAACAUCACAAGAUAAAGCACUCUGGUAUCACCUGCCCAUGUCCUCGUUAGUGUCACCCAAGACAUUUGACUCUGAUACGGUAACUGAUAACUUUUCUUGCUCCACUUUGCAAUGUUUUGUUUCCUACAUCUUAUUACCUUGGGACACAAAAGUGGCAGAGUUGUUGAGAGCUGAUGACCAGAAAAGGGAGAACACUAGAGGAAAUGAGACAGGAAAGAAAGCCAAAGCUGAUUUUCCAACUCUAUGCUGACUCCAACCUGCAGAAAGAGCUGAAUAUAGAAAUCUUCCAUAUAUGAUGAAGUCACUCUACUUAUGACAUAAUACACAGAGGAAUCACCUGGCUUUUUUUUUUUUAACCCAGAAGAGUUGUGCUGGGGACCAGGCCCCAUCCCGCUGAUACAGAUCCUGAAUGGAAUCAUCAGGAAUGGCACAGUGCAGGUGUCAAUAUCAAAGUAAGGCCGCAGAAUUUUGAGAGGACCCUCCAAAUACUGAGAACUUCUGUUGCACUCAAAACAGUCUCCUGGAUUUCUAUAUUUUUAUGUGAAGGGCUCUUAUCGAUGUCCCCCAGAAUCCAGACUCAGACCUAUUUCUCCAAAAAGGUCCAAUUGGGUUGCUACAUAGUAGCAAGGGUUUAUCUUCAUGCUCACCCAGCAUUCCAGGCCCCCAUUACUUCAAGUGAGCUUGAAAUUGUUUUAAGUGAACUAUGGCUGCAGAUUUUUUUACUGUUUUAUCUCUCAGGGAGCAUACAGUGGAGUGAUUAAAGUUUGGACUCCUUCUCCUUGUGAUGAAGAGAAACAAUGAGUCCAGCUCUUAGGAAUGGCAUCAGUUCUCCUGCAAACAAAAUGCUGGGAUGCAGAGUUUUGGCACAUUGUGGAAACAGGAGAACUAUUAAUUCUGUAAUGGUUUUCAUGCCAUCGGGUCAGGAAGGCUGUCCUACACUAAACCUUACUGCAUCUGAAAACAUGUUAAAGCCACCAGCUUUUUUUUUUUUUUUUUUUUUUAAAAGGAAAAUGAGAUUACAAAUCAAUACCUCCACAGGGAGGUAAUUCCUAAUAUUCCUAUGAUCUCUGAACCUUAUUUAAAAGCUAAAAUAAAAAUAUCAUUUUGGUUUUUC
Molecule: long non-coding RNA, 1674 nt
Organism: Sapajus apella (tufted capuchin)
Lineage: Eukaryota; Metazoa; Chordata; Mammalia; Primates; Cebidae
Exons: 2
Source: RefSeq, a predicted model, not a curated record